This 207-nucleotide unclassified non-coding RNA is filed under the name Glomeraceae sp. RNAcentral describes it as "partial contains 5.8S ribosomal RNA and internal transcribed spacer 2". The stretch from base 1 to 71 matches the Rfam family "5.8S ribosomal RNA", at positions 84 to 154 of the family's 154-position model. Lineage: Eukaryota; Fungi; Glomeromycota; Glomeromycetes; Glomerales; Glomeraceae. The record is from RNAcentral.
GUGAAUCAUCAAAUUUUUGAACGCAAAUUGCACUUUCUUGUAUGCCGGAGAGUAUGCCUGUGUGAGGGUCUGUUAAUUAAAAAUCGGUGUUUUUGCUGUUAGUGGUGGUGCAUCGGAAUGGAGUCGUCUUUACUUUUGGUUUUAAGUGACUUAAAAUUAUGUACUAUUUCUGAUCGUCUUUAAUAUAUUUACUUACGCUCAUGAUAU